This 540-nucleotide ribosomal RNA is filed under the name uncultured bacterium. RNAcentral describes it as "bacterial SSU rRNA". It matches the Rfam family "Bacterial small subunit ribosomal RNA", at positions 8 to 526 of the family's 1533-position model. The record is from RNAcentral.
AGAGUUUGAUCCUGGCUCAGAAUGAACGCUGGCGGCGUGGUUAAGACAUGCAAGUCGAACGGUGUUUAGGUUGUAGCAAUACAAUUUGAACGCAGUGGCGAACGGGUGCGUAACACGUGAACAAUCUACCUCUUAGUGGGGAAUAGCUCGCCGAAAGGCGAAUUAAUACCGCAUACGAUUGAUGUCUGCAUGGAUGUCAUAUUAAAGUCGGGGACCGCAAGGCCCGACGCUGGGAGAGGAGUUCGCGGCCUAUCAGCUAGUUGGUGAGGUAACGGCCCACCAAGGCAAAGACGGGUAGCCGGUCUGAGAGGAUGAUCGGCCACACUGGAACUGAGACACGGUCCUGACACCUACGGGUGGCAGCAGUUUCGAAUCAUUCACAAUGGGCGAAAGCCUGAUGGUGCGACGCCGCGUGAGGGAUGAAGGUCUUCGGAUUGUAAACCUCUGUCACUGGGGGAGAACGCUAUGUCCUAAUACGACGUAGCCGACUUAACCCGGAGAGGAAGCAGUGGCUAACUCUGUGAGCAGCCGCGGUAAUAC